Molecule: long non-coding RNA, 3318 nt
Organism: Neolamprologus brichardi
Lineage: Eukaryota; Metazoa; Chordata; Actinopteri; Cichliformes; Cichlidae
Source: RefSeq, a predicted model, not a curated record
UCACUGUAGUGUGCCUUGAUUUGAGGUGGUUGCAUGCAGGCCUUGCUGGUGGUGCCUGCAGGCAGUCCUCUCGUUGCCCGGGAAACACAGAUGGUGGAUGAAGGGGGCGCAUACAAAAGACCAUAAACCUGUGGCAGCAGCUGGAGACCGAGACCAGCGAUUAAUUCAGGUCUGCGCGCUGAGUGAAAGAAGUUACUGUUCUCAUUAAUACCCUCCGCUCAUGUUCUUUGUCCCGAGGCUUCCGACUCCACUUUAUCCUGUUUUCCGUGGACUGGACUCCCGUCAGUGCGCAGCUGUUGUUGGCACUCCCACAUCUGCUUCUCUCCGCUCGGCAGCCAUAUAGAGAGGACGCACAGCCGCGGUUCGUGUUAGUAGCGUGCUGCCACUCGAUCCAACCAGCCUUUCAGUGCGGGCGUAGUCACUGCGCACACACACGACGCCUGUUUUCCCGUCUGAUCGGCUUGCGGUCAGCCUGGUAGAGGAAGACGAAGAAAGCAGAUAAAAGGCGAAGAAGGAGCGAUCUUUUGCUAUCGUUUGGUGACAGGUGGAUGUGGAUCCCGGAGAUCACUGGUACUCCCUGUAGAUUCAUCCACAGUGCUGCAGACAGAGACACACAGGAUGCUGGGAGGAUCCAGAAGGGAACCAACAACAGGACAGGUUAUGUGUACAGACUGGAUUGUCGUCAUUAUCAUCUCUAGGGAGGUCACACGGAAAUUUAAUAGCAUUACUCAGUCAUUUAGAUAACUGAUAUUACUGACUCUUAUCCUAAGUGACUCAUAUGUUUUUACAGUGGGUGUUUUUCAGUCCACCGUGUCUGAGACUAAAUAUAAAGCAUAAAAAGAAACAAAAAAAAGAUGAAAGAACAACCAGUACCUGGGGGAUCUUGUGAGGACAGUUGGGUUGUGUCCCACUUUUUUCUGCUGCUUUGUGUUGUGUGCUCUUCUCCAGUUACAUCGAUGGAAAAAGAUGGGGGGGCUUGACAGGACUUCAUUGUACUCCCGGUGGCUUCGCUCCAUUGCCCUCUACUGUGCUGCGUAUGGACUGUGAUGACCACAUGGUGCCAUUUUCCCUGCCCUGCACCUUCAGAAGAGCGAGUCCGUGUUCCAGUGUUUUCCUACUGAGAGAUGACUUCUGCUUUUGCAAAUCAGUGAAAACUGUAUUUCACUUGUUGCUUCGUAGUCAACAUCAGUGUGCUCAGAUUUAGCAGGGAGAUAUUUCAUGGGUGUUGUACAGAAUAUUUUGCUGCAGUGUGAUUUUUUUUUUUUUUUGUAAGUAAAAGCGCGUCCCGGCCCAUUCUCUGACUUUAUUUUGCUGUUCUAAAACAGUGACGCGUGCGGUGACCUCUACUCUUUCUAACCCUCUGACGGUUUCUUCCUAUAUAAGAUACUUCACUCAAAGCGAGCAGUGUUUCACCAAGACUAUAUUUUGUGUCUUUUCAUAGCUGGAGUUUACUCUGACAGAUUUGUGCAAAGCUCUGAUAUUUGAGAGAAAAAAAAAGCUGCUAAAUUGUGUGAAAAUGACAAGUUCCCAAUGUGCCAUUCACACAGUAUGUUUUUGUUUGUGUGGAAACCUCUAAAGUUGAUCACACUUGUGUGUGUGUGCGUGUUAUGGGGGUGUCUACGUGAGUGCACGUGUUUCUUUGCAUGUACCCUAUACGUAUGUCUGCAUGUGUCUCUUAUCAGUCAGAUGAAAUGUAUUUGUAACGGGCCUGAAGCUAAAAGCUGCUUUACUGUGAUUUUUGUUUUCACAGCUGCACACUCAAUAACAGGCCUAUAUUCUUUUAGCCACUGGAUGUACCAGAUAAGGGAUAAAACAACAUUUACAAAUGGUUCUUAGCAUUUGUUACAACCUCACUGAAGUAGCAGUUAUUAUACUGAUUUAGAUCACAAGGAUGCCAUUGGAAAUUAAUGGUCUGUAGUUUUCUAAACGAUGCCCGCUGGCAUUAAUUAAGUUGUCCCGAUGCCUACAGUCCUAUCAUUUCACACUGAAGCCAAUUUCAGCAAAUGCUAAUAAUUAUGCGUAAAUAGAUUUUUACCCACAUCUGGGUUGUACUAACAGUAUCUCACUAAUCUCUAACAGUACUAAUAUAUGUGCUAACAGUUGGAGGAUUACUAACCUGUAUUGAGAAUGCUGUUGGCUGGCAUUUCUAACCCUAACUUGACUAACCCUCUGCUUUCUGCCCGCGGUCUGCAGCGCAUAUACUUUCUUUGCAUGAUUUUGCAUCCCUUCUUUUAGAAGUUGAAAUAAAUCUUUAAAGUUGGGAAAAAUGUUGCACUGAGCAUGUCAGGAAGGGUUUCGGGACUUGGAAAGGGAAAGAAAGCGAUUAAGCUCAAGGUGAAAAGACAAGCGGGAACAGCUGCUGGCAUCAAACUGGGUUGACCACACACUUACGAGCAAUCAACGCAAAAACGAUUGUGAUCAGAUUCAGAGAGGUCAGCCUUUGCAUUUGUACGUGCUCUGUGCGGUCAACCUGCAGGUGAGUGCCUGGCUUGUUGUCAGCUCGGGCGGUGAUGUCAGACAGAAGCUGAGCACACCUCAGUACUAACUCCUGAUUGGUGCUGAUACUAACAGUCCGGAUCCUGUAAAUGUCCAUCUUACUAAUGUCUUUGUUUGCUGUUCUUUGCUAAACUUUGAGUAAAUCAAAGCAUGCCCAGCAAUACCAGCAAUACAACUGGACAGACCUACUAUGAACAACAGUCAUCAACAGUCAUCAAAACAAUUCACUAACCCAAAAGAAGAGUGUUGAACAGCUCUCUACAAACUAACAAACUAACCUACUAAUGAACACAUAACCUAACAAAAAUGAACUAGAAUCAAUAACUCUCUGCUCAGUAUUGUUGAAGCGCCCCAGCAUCGAGGGGACGCGUCACUUACUAACAGAAUGAAAUUCAACAACGUGCUUGAAUGUGUGCGAGAGGGAGAGAGAAGAGCGAGUGUGUACAAGAGGUGUGUUUGUGUGGAAAUGCAAACAAGUUGCAAACUGGCUGUGAGCACUGCGAAAACCUCCAAAUACUCUUGCAGCCUAAAUGUAAUCCUUGAACCUCUCAGUUUAUGUGUUAUGUGGAAGCAGCAUGUUAAUUAAUGUUUACACUGACAUAAAUCGUGUUUUGAAAAGAACAAAACAAAAAAUCAAUACAAGCAAAAUGUCCAUAAGAACAGCAGGAGGUCAAAGAAAAUGUGUUAAUAAAGUUAAAAAACAAUAAUUUGAUAGUGAUUGUAUCGUUUACUGUUUCAUGAACAAUUUCUGAAUAUUUUUGUAAAGUUGUAACUUUUGUUUCUAAAACUUUGUAUCCAGUUAAUAAAUUUUUUUGCAACAUA